RNAcentral lists this unclassified non-coding RNA (280 nucleotides) under Hevea brasiliensis (rubber tree). Lineage: Eukaryota; Viridiplantae; Streptophyta; Magnoliopsida; Malpighiales; Euphorbiaceae. The record is from RNAcentral.
GUUGACGUAGCGUUUUUAAAUUUAAAAAUUAUGUUUUAAGAGAUUGAUAAUUUAAGGUAAAUAGGUUUUGGCUUGUUGAAAUGUCAAUCUGUGUAAUUUGAAUCAUUGGGAUUGUGGGUAGAUAGAGAACAAAAUUAAGUUUUUUUCUUGACAUGUGUUAAAUUAAUAAAUAGAAAAUAUAAUUUUCAAUCUGAUAAGUGCCAUGUUAGCCAAAAAAGAAAAGAAAAAAACCUAGAAACUAACUGUUGAAUGUUACUGGGAUUUUAUGUUACUUAAAUUA